Molecule: ribosomal RNA, 639 nt
Filed under: uncultured Actinomycetes bacterium
Lineage: Bacteria; Bacillati; Actinomycetota; Actinomycetes
Description: bacterial SSU rRNA
Rfam family: Bacterial small subunit ribosomal RNA
Source: RNAcentral
UCGCGGCCUAUCAGCUUGUUGGUGGGGUAACGGCCUACCAAGGCAACGACGGGUAGCUGGUUUGAGAGAACGAUCAGCCACACUGGGACUGAGACACGGCCCAGACUCCUACGGGAGGCAGCAGUGGGGAAUCUUGCGCAAUGGGCGAAGGCCUGACGCAGCAACGCCGCGUGCGGGAUGACGGCCUUCGUGGUUGUAAACCGCUUUCAGCAGGGACGAAAAUGACGGUACCUGCAGAAGAAGCCCCGGCUAACUACGUGCCAGCAGCCGCGGUAAUACGUAGGGGGCAAGCGUUGUCCGGAUUCAUUGGGCGUAAAGAGCUCGUAGGCGGUUCAGUAAGUCGGGUGUGAAAGCUCCGAGCUCAACUCGGAGAGGCCACCCGAUACUGCUGUGACUUGAGUCCAGUAGAGGAGCGUGGAACUCCUGGUGUAGCGGUGGAAUGCGCAGAUAUCAGGAAGAACACCUGCAGCGAAGGCGGCGCUCUGGGCUGGAACUGACGCUGAGGAGCGAAAGCGUGGGUAGCAAACAGGAUUAGAUACCCUGGUAGUCCACGCCGUAAACGUUGGGCACUAGGUGUGGGGAGCCGUCAACGCUCUCUGUGCCGUAGCUAACGCAUUAAGUGCCCCGCCUGGGGAGUAC